CAGCAGCCGCGGGAAUACAGAGGGUGCAAGCGUUAAUCGGAAUUACUGGGCGUAAAGCGCGCGUAGGUGGUUUGUUAAGUUGGAUGUGAAAUCCCCGGGCUCAACCUGGGAACUGCAUCCAAAACUGGCAAGCUAGAGUAUGGUAGAGGGUGGUGGAAUUUCCUGUGUAGCGGUGAAAUGCGUAGAUAUAGGAAGGAACACCAGUGGCGAAGGCGACCACCUGGACUGAUACUGACACUGAGGUGCGAAAGCGUGGGGAGCAAACAGGAUUAGAUACCCCAGUAGUCCCUGUCUCUUAUAC
Molecule: ribosomal RNA, 301 nt
Filed under: uncultured bacterium
Lineage: Bacteria
Description: partial 16S ribosomal RNA
Rfam family: Bacterial small subunit ribosomal RNA
Source: RNAcentral